Long non-coding RNA from Planococcus citri (citrus mealybug), 1942 nucleotides. RefSeq lists it as uncharacterized. The transcript has 2 exons. NCBI's taxonomy places the organism in Eukaryota, Metazoa, Arthropoda, Insecta, Hemiptera, Pseudococcidae. The record is from RefSeq and is a predicted model, not a curated record.
AUUUUUUAUUUUUUUUUUUUAUGAUGCUCUACUAUGUUCUAAAAAAAUCUACAUACGUAGAAGUAGAACUUUUUAGUUCUACCGUUCUACCAAAUUUACAUCAAAAAAAAUAUUAAAUAUUACCGAAUACCGAAGUAGAUUCUGCAGAUUGUAUUGUAUUGUAUUCUAGGAUUUCAAAAAUGAACGACCAAGAUACCAAAUCAUCAGAUGGAGCUAUUUCACCGUUAUCCGAAGAUCUUCUUCAACUUCAGCUUCAGAACAAGGAAGAACAAAAUCCAAAAGUUGACGAACCUGAUAAAAUCGAAUUGCCGAGACAGAAAUCACCAUUAGAAAUGGAAAGAAUAGAAAGAUUCCAAGCCAGACUUAGUGCCUACAAUCGUGGAUUGGGUUUAUUGCGAAAGAGAAAUAUCGACAUGUUCAGCCCAAUGCAACUUCAGGAAAAACCUUUGACUAUAUAUACAUGGACUACUAUCUUCAUUGUUGCCGAUGAAGCCGAAGUAAUAGAGGUACUAGAUCGGGAGCAUCGGGAAUUUUCAUGCGCGCGCAGGAAUCCCACCCACCCUCGCACCUUCCAAUCAAGAGCUCUGUUCUAUUCGCUACUCCGAGUAGCUCUGUGUACUCUCGUGAUUUUCUCCGGAACCGAUAAAAGAGUAGAGAGAGUAGGGGAAAUGAGUCUUCGAAAAGAACACAAAUCCAAGAACACCUUGUAAAACAACUAAAUUUCAACAAAAAAAAGAAAAUAAACACUCGUAAAACGGAAUGUCGGAAUACUGAUUGUAAAAAAAAAAAAAUGUCGCCUUAAAAAGUCUGCUCUUUUUACUCUACUCCUUCUGCACUUCCUUUUCAGCAGGUGUAGAAAAACCUGCUCUAGAGCAGCUCUUUUGACUCUACUCCUUGCGAAAAGAACGAUUAGACGGAUUACUCCGAGUAAAAAUGUGCCAAUAGAACACAGUAUUGCUGCUCGAAGCAACUCGGAGUUGCUCGGAGCAGCGAAUAGAACAGAGCUAUGGUGAACCAAGGUUGGCUACGCUCGUUGCAACGAAAUCUCGCGCAUGCUCAGAGCCCAUGUCCCGAUCUAGUACCUCUAUUGCUUUGGCUUCACGAUUCCCAUUCAACAACAAUAGGAGAUAGCAGUCCAUGUAUAUAUAGUCAAAGGGAAAAACAAAAUCCAGAAGUUGACGAACCUGAUGAAAUUUUUCAUAAUUCAAUUCUGUCAUUGCAAUUUCAGGAAAAACAAAAUCCAAAAGUUGACGAACCUGAUAAAAUCGAAUUGCUGAGACAGAAAUCACCAUUAGAAAUAGAAAGAAUAGAAAGAUUCCAAGCCAGACUUAGUGCCUACAGUCGUCACGUGGAUUUAUCCCGAAAAAGACAUACCGAAAUGUUCAGCCCAUUGAAAUUUUAGGAAAAACAAAAUUCAAAAGUUGACGAACUUGAAGAAAUCAAAUUGCAGAAAACAUAAGAAGAUUCGAAACUACAAUCGUAUGGUGGAUUCAUUGAAAAAGAGAGAACGGCCGAAAUGUUCAGCAUUUGAUUUAGGCAUUUAAAAAACAACGGCAGCGAUGAUAACUUUUGUCUCUUAUCAAUUAAAUAUUUCGAAGAAUUGAGGUUAUGUAAAAAAGGUUUUCUUUAGUAGCAUGUGAAUUUAUUCUCUGCAAAUUGAGUCUGCAAUUAGUGAUCCUGAAAUCAGUUAUACCGAUUAAUUUUAGAGAGCUGGUCGGAGUUUUUUAAAAAUUUCUUAUCACUAUAUAUUGUAUUUUUAUUAAGCUGGUCUCUCUUUUAGAAUAAUAUUUUCAUUUCUCAUCGCUGCGAAUUUUAUUUAUAGUUAUACCUAUUAUAUUAUAACGAGCUGAUCUUAAUUUUCAAAUUUUUUUCGUAUAUCACUGAAUUUGUAUUUUAUAUAAGCUGUUCAUUUAAAAAAUAAUAAACGCUAAUUUUACUAUAA